AAAAUGAACUAAUCACGACGUCAUAUUUCAGAAAGCUGUGGGGAAGGAGGUGGAGACGAGGAAGGAAAAUCCUAACGCCCUUAACCACCUCAUAAAUAAAUAAAUAAAUACGCGAAUCACACACAGGACGGAUUUCUGCUACAUUCAAAUUAAAACCUGAUUGAUCAAAGAAGACAGUGAAAAGCGAUGGAAACAACGACGACGAAAACGACGAAGGUGAAGGUGAGGAUAGUGGAGAGAGAAGGUGGUUCAGAUGGAAGUAGUGGAAGCUGGGAGAGCAGUGGCGGAGGCGGCGGCAGUGGUGGUGGUGGUGAUGGCGGAGGAGAAGAGAGGGGGAUUCAUGUGUAUUCUGGCUGGGUUUAUCAUUUGGGGACGAACUCGAUAGGGCGUCAGUAUUGUCAUUUGAGAUUCUUGUUUAUUAAAGGAAAAUAUGUUCAGAUGUACAAGCGUGAUCCUCAGGAUCAUCCUGGCAUCAAACAUAUCAGGAAGGGUGUAAUAGGGCCUACACUUAAGGUGGAGGAGCUAGGGCGUCGAAAAGUCAAUCAUGGGGAUAUUUAUGUUUUACGGUUUUACAAUCGAUUGGAUGAGACAAAAAAAGGAGAAAUUGCUUGUGCUACAGCUGGAGAGGUUAAACAAUGGAUGGAAGCAUUUGAUCAGGGGAAGCAACAGGCUGAAUUUGAACUUGCAAGAGGACUUAGUGCCAGAAACAAGCUGAACAUGGAGGCAGAGAUUAUCAAUCUUGAAGGACAUCGACCUAGAGUGAGGAGAUAUGCUUACGGAUUGAAAAAGUUCAUAAGAAUAGGGCAAGGUCCAGAAACACUUCUUCGGCAAUCCUCAAACUUGGCUGCUAAGAUUAGGCCUGAUAGGUAUGAGGGUGAGGUUGGAGAUGCAAUCGACUUUCAUCAAUGGAAAUGUGUUCGUACAGCUAAUGGUGUUCGAAUCUUUGAGGAUGUGUCCAAUUCCAAGAAUGGUAAAGGUGUUCUUGUGAAAGCUGUUAGUGUGAUUGAGGCCAGUGCUGAUACUGUUUUUGAAGUGAUUUUGAACCUUGACCAACAUCAAAGAUAUGAGUGGGAUAUGUUGACAGGCGACUUGGAGCUGUUAGAUUCUUAUGAUGGACACUAUGAUGUUGUCUAUGGGACAUGUGAUUCCAAUUAUCUUUCCCGGUGGAAAUCAAAUAGAGAUUUUGUCUUCUCUAGGCAAUGGUUUCAUGGACAAGACGGAACAUACACAAUUUUGCAACUUCCUGCUGUGCAUAAGGAGCGACCUCCAAGAUCUGGAUAUCAGCGGGAGAAAAUCAACCCUUCUACAUGGGAGAUUAGAGAUUUAAAUACACCCAUGGAGUCAAAUACAGCAAGAUGUCUUGUGAUGCAAAUGUUAGAGAUACAAGAAGCAGGAUGGUGCAGAUGGAAGAGAAGUCGUGGCUCAAAGUUUGAGAAGACUAUUUCUUUUGCAUUAUUAUCUCAAGUGGAAGGUCUGAAAGAAUAUAUUGCAGCAAAUCCAGCAUUCAAAUUUGAACAUUCCACUACAGUCAUCAAUUCUAGAAUUUCUGAUGGUGCCAUCUCUAGCAGUGAAUAUGAGGAUUCUGAAGUGCAAGAUGAGUUUUAUGAUGCAAUGGCUGAUGACUCAUCAUCAUCAUCAUCAUCAGAAGAAGAAGAGAGCGAUGAUGACCAUGAAAAAGUCAAGGGAGUGAAAGUUAAACUGAGGAAUGUUUCAUGGGCCAUCACAGGCUUGGCAUUGAAGCGAGCUCCAGAUCCAGAUGCAAGGAAGGACUUGGAUCCAUGUAUAGCUCCAAUCAAUAUUGAUCCAAGCCAAUUUCAUGGUUCUCUCAACAAAGGAAAGGAUGAAAAUGAUUCAAACUGUUGGACUUCUCCAAGCGGCACAGGAUUUAUGGUUAGAGGAAAGAGUUAUCUAAAAGAUAGCUCUAAGGUAAUGGGAGGAGAUCCCCUACUCAAGCUCAUUUCAGUUGACUGGUUCAAGGUUGACAAGGCCAUAGAUGGGAUUUCACUUCAUCCCAGGUGUCUGGUGCAGACUGAAGCUGGAAAAAAGCUCCCCUUCAUUCUGGUUAUCAAUCUCCAGAUUCCAUCAAAACCAAACUACAGUUUGGUUCUCUACUAUGCUGCAGACAGGCCAAUAAACAAAAGUUCUUUGUUGGGUAAAUUUGUUGAUGGCACAGACUUGUUUCGGGAUUCAAGAUUCAAAUUAAUUCCUAGCAUUGUUGAGGGAUAUUGGAUGGUCAAGCGCGCAGUUGGAACAAAAGCUUGCCUAUUGGGGAAAGCAGUAACCUGCAAGUACCUCAGACAAGAUAAUUUUCUAGAGAUUGCUGUUGAUAUUGGCUCAUCAUCUGUGGCAAGAGGGGUCAUUGGUCUUGUCCUUGGAUAUGUCACAAGCUUAGUAGUUGAACUUGCAAUUUUGAUAGAGGCAAAAGAGGAGGCAGAUCUGCCUGAGUAUAUUCUCGGGACCGUCCGGCUAAAUCGUCUAAGGAUUGACACAGCUGUACCUUUGGAGGUUUAAGGUUUUCAAUUGUCAACAUUCUCCAUUCAUCAGAUUCCUGUCCGGCUAAAUCAUCCAAGGAUCAACACAGCUGUACCUUUGGAGGUUUAAGGUUUUCAAUUGUCAGCGCUUAAGGUUUUCAAUUGUCACCGUUCUCCAUUCAUCGUGUAUUCCUGUGAUCGAUGCUGUUAUUUUUGGGGCUUCACUCGCUCUGAUAUCUCUGAUCCGAUAAAAGAUCGCAACAGACAUAUUAUAGUGCUUUGUUUAGAUGUAUUUAUAACACAUGGACAGAUGGAAUGGGUUUCUACAUGGUGAGCUAUAAGCGCAGUUGAAGAUUGAUCAGGUGUGAAAGAUCCCACAUAAGUUUGGUUCGGUAGGAUUUACAAGGAGAAUUAGACUUGAGUUGAUGCUCAGCCUUUUACCGGAAUCGCUCAUUUGAUUGUCGGAUUGGAAAACUAGUGGUAGAGUAUCUGCAAACUCUGGUAGAUACCAUCUUGUAUCCAAAUUAUUCAGCUCUUCAUUUGUCUGAAUGCUAUUUUUAAAAGAACAUCUAAGCUAUUUGCAUCUCGUGGUUCUUGCUUUGCCAAGGUAAAGAAAACAGGAAUUUGUGUAACCAAACAAGAAUGGACUGAUUGUUUUCUUU
Molecule: RNA transcript, 3133 nt
Organism: Populus euphratica (Euphrates poplar)
Lineage: Eukaryota; Viridiplantae; Streptophyta; Magnoliopsida; Malpighiales; Salicaceae
Gene name: ENHANCED DISEASE RESISTANCE protein (DUF1336)
Exons: 23
Source: RefSeq, a predicted model, not a curated record